GCCUCUGUUGCUUAGUGGUAGAGCGACAGCCUUGUAAGCUGUAGGUCGCGGGUUCAAUCCCCGCCAGAGGCUCCA
Molecule: transfer RNA, 75 nt
Filed under: Promethearchaeota archaeon
Lineage: Archaea; Promethearchaeati; Promethearchaeota
Also listed under: 1 other name
Description: Candidatus Lokiarchaeota archaeon (marine sediment metagenome) tRNA-Thr
Rfam family: tRNA
About the family: Transfer RNA (tRNA) molecules are approximately 80 nucleotides in length. Their secondary structure includes four short double-helical elements and three loops (D, anti-codon, and T loops). Further hydrogen bonds mediate the characteristic L-shaped molecular structure. tRNAs have two regions of fundamental functional importance: the anti-codon, which is responsible for specific mRNA codon recognition, and the 3' end, to which the tRNAs corresponding amino acid is attached (by aminoacyl-tRNA synthetases). tRNAs cope with the degeneracy of the genetic code in two manners: having more than one tRNA (with a specific anti-codon) for a particular amino acid; and 'wobble' base-pairing, i.e. permitting non-standard base-pairing at the 3rd anti-codon position.
Source: RNAcentral